CCUACGGGAGGCAGCAGUGGGGAAUAUUGGGCAAUGGGCGCAAGCCUGACCCAGCAACGCCGCGUGAAGGAAGAAGGCCCUCGGGUUGUAAACUUCUUUUAACAGGGACGAAGAAAGUGACGGUACCUGUUGAAUAAGCCACGGCUAACUACUGGCCAGCAGCCGCGGGAAUACGUAGGGGGCAAGCGUUAGCCGGAUUUACUGGGUGUAAAGGGCGUGUAGGCGGGAGAGCAAGUCAGACGUGAAAUUCCAUGGCUCAACCCUGGAACUGCGUUUGAAACUGUUCUUCUUGAGUGAUGGAGAGGCAUGCGGAAUUCGGUGUGUAGCGGUGAAAUGCGUAGAUAUACGGAGGAACACCAGUUGCGAAGGCGGCCUGCUGGACAUUAACUGACGCUGAGGCGCGAAAGCGUGGGGAGCAAACAGGAUUAGAUACCCGAGUAGUC
This 443-nucleotide ribosomal RNA is filed under the name uncultured bacterium. RNAcentral describes it as "partial 16S ribosomal RNA". It matches the Rfam family "Bacterial small subunit ribosomal RNA", at positions 338 to 795 of the family's 1533-position model. The record is from RNAcentral.